GAGUUUGAUCCUGGCUCAGAUUGAACGCUGGCGGCAGGCCUAACACAUGCAAGUCGAACGGUAACAGGAAGAAGCUUGCUUCUUUGCUGACGAGUGGCGGACGGGUGAGUAAUGUCUGGGAAACUGCCUGAUGGAGGGGGAUAACUACUGGAAACGGUAGCUAAUACCGCAUAACGUCGCGAGACCAAAGAGGGGGACCUUCGGGCCUCUUGCCAUCGGAUGUGCCCAGAUGGGAUUAGCUAGUAGGUGGGGUAACGGCUCACCUAGGCGACGAUCCCUAGCUGGUCUGAGAGGAUGACCAGCCACACUGGAACUGAGACACGGUCCAGACUCCUACGGGAGGCAGCAGUGGGGAAUAUUGCACAAUGGGCGCAAGCCUGAUGCAGCCAUGCCGCGUGUAUGAAGAAGGCCUUCGGGUUGUAAAGUACUUUCAGCGGGGAGGAAGGGAGUAAAGUUAAUACCUUUGCUCAUUGACGU
Molecule: ribosomal RNA, 477 nt
Filed under: uncultured bacterium
Lineage: Bacteria
Description: bacterial SSU rRNA
Rfam family: Bacterial small subunit ribosomal RNA
Source: RNAcentral